Molecule: unclassified non-coding RNA, 342 nt
Filed under: soil metagenome
Description: partial contains 5.8S ribosomal RNA, internal transcribed spacer 2, and large subunit ribosomal RNA
Rfam family: 5.8S ribosomal RNA (bases 1-120)
Source: RNAcentral
GAUGAAGAACGCAGCGAAAUGCGAUAAGUAAUGUGAAUUGCAGAAUUCAGUGAAUCAUCGAAUCUUUGAACGCACAUUGCGCCUCCUGGUAUUCCGGGAGGCAUGCCUGUUCGAGCGUCAUCAAAAACCUCAACCCAUGAUUUAUUGUGAGUUGGUUCUGCAUUGGACUCCUUGUGGGUCCUUUGCGAAAUCCAAUGGCGAAGAGCCACGCAACCAAAGCGUAGUAUAACUAUUUCGUCAUGGAAGCGUGGGUGCCUCUGCCGUAACCCCCAAUUUCUUAGUUUUUGACCUCGGAUCAGGUAGGGAUACCCGCUGAACUUAAGCAUAUCAAUAAGCGGAGGA